AGAGUUUGAUCCUGGCUCAGAUUGAACGCUGGCGGCAGGCUUAACACAUGCAAGUCGAGCGGGGAAGGGUAGCUUGCUACCUGACCUAGCGGCGGACGGGUGAGUAAUGCUUAGGAAUCUGCCUAUUAGUGGGGGACAACAUUCCGAAAGGAAUGCUAAUACCGCAUACGCCCUACGGGGGAAAGCAGGGGAUCUUCGGACCUUGCGCUAAUAGAUGAGCCUAAGUCAGAUUAGCUAGUUGGUGGGGUAAAGGCCUACCAAGGCGACGAUCUGUAGCGGGUCUGAGAGGAUGAUCCGCCACACUGGGACUGAGACACGGCCCAGACUCCUACGGGAGGCAGCAGUGGGGAAUAUUGGACAAUGGGCGAAAGCCUGAUCCAGCCAUGCCGCGUGUGUGAAGAAGGCCUUUUGGUUGUAAAGCACUUUAAGCGAGGAGGAGGCUACCGAGAUUAAUACUCUUGGAUAGUGGACGUUACUCGCAGAAUAAGCACCGGCUAACUCUGUGCCAGCAGCCGCGGUAAUACAGAGGGUGCGAGCGUUAAUCGGAUUUACUGGGCGUAAAGCGUGCGUAGGCGGCUUUUUAAGUCGGAUGUGAAAUCCCUGAGCUUAACUUAGGAAUUGCAUUCGAUACUGGGAAGCUAGAGUAUGGGAGAGGAUGGUAGAAUUCCAGGUGUAGCGGUGAAAUGCGUAGAGAUCUGGAGGAAUACCGAUGGCGAAGGCAGCCAUCUGGCCUAAUACUGACGCUGAGGUACGAAAGCAUGGGGAGCAAACAGGAUUAGAUACCCUGGUAGUCC
This 794-nucleotide ribosomal RNA is filed under the name uncultured bacterium. RNAcentral describes it as "bacterial SSU rRNA". It matches the Rfam family "Bacterial small subunit ribosomal RNA", at positions 8 to 796 of the family's 1533-position model. The record is from RNAcentral.